GUGGGGAAUUUUGGACAAUGGGCGCAAGCCUGAUCCAGCAAUGCCGCGUGCAGGAAGAAGGCCUUCGGGUUGUAAACUGCUUUUGUACGGAACGAAACGGUCCGGGUUAAUACCCUGGGCUAAUGAUGGUACCGUAAGAAUAAGCACCGGCUAACUACGUGCCAGCAGCCGCGGUAAUACGUAGGGUGCAAGCGUUAAUCGGAAUUACUGGGCGUAAAGCGUGCGCAGGCGGUUUUGUAAGACAGGCGUGAAAUCCCCGGGCUCAACCUGGGAAUUGCGCUUGUGACUGCAAGGCUGGAGUGCGGCAGAGGGGGAUGGAAUUCCGCGUGUAGCAGUGAAAUGCGUAGAUAUGCGGAGGAACACCGAUGGCGAAGGCAAUCCCCUGGGCCUGCACUGACGCUCAUGCACGAAAGCGUGGGGAGCAAACAGGAUUAGAUACCCCUGUAGUCC
This 450-nucleotide ribosomal RNA is filed under the name uncultured bacterium. RNAcentral's name for it is "bacterial SSU rRNA". It matches the Rfam family "Bacterial small subunit ribosomal RNA", at positions 354 to 796 of the family's 1533-position model. The record is from RNAcentral.